GUGGGGAUUAGUGGCGAACGGGUGAGUAACACGUGGGCAAUCUGCCCUUCACUCUGGGACAAGCCCUGGAAACGGGGUCUAAUACCGGAUAACACUCCUGCCUGCAUGGGCGGGGGUUAAAAGCUCCGGCGGUGAAGGAUGAGCCCGCGGCCUAUCAGCUUGUUGGUGAGGUAACGGCUCACCAAGGCGACGACGGGUAGCCGGCCUGAGAGGGCGACCGGCCACACUGGGACUGAGACACGGCCCAGACUCCUACGGGAGGCAGCAGUGGGGAAUAUUGCACAAUGGGCGAAAGCCUGAUGCAGCGACGCCGCGUGAGGGAUGACKGCCUUCGGGUUGUAAACCUCUUUCAGCAGGGAAGAAGCGAAAGUGACGGUACCUGCAGAAGAAGCGCCGGCUAACUACGUGCCAGCAGCCGCGGUAAUACGUAGGGCGCAAGCGUUGUCCGGAAUUAUUGGGCGUAAAGAGCUCGUAGGCGGCUUGUCACGUCGGUUGUGAAAGCCCGGGGCUUAACCCCGGGUCUGCAGUCGAUACGGGCAGGCUAGAGUUCGGUAGGGGAGAUCGGAAUUCCUGGUGUAGCGGUGAAAUGCGCAGAUAUCAGGAGGAACACCGGUGGCGAAGGCGGAUCUCUGGGCCGAUACUGACGCUGAGGAGCGAAAGCGUGGGGAGCGAACAGGAUUAGAUACCCUGGUAGUCCACGCCGUAAACGGUGGGCACUAGGUGUGGGCAACAUUCCACGUUGUCCGUGCCGCAGCUAACGCAUUAAGUGCCCCGCCUGGGGGAGUACGGCCGCAAGGCUAAAACUCAAGGAAUUGACGGGGGCCCGCACAGCGGCGGAGCAUGKGGCUU
Molecule: ribosomal RNA, 849 nt
Filed under: Streptomyces anthocyanicus
Lineage: Bacteria; Bacillati; Actinomycetota; Actinomycetes; Kitasatosporales; Streptomycetaceae
Description: bacterial SSU rRNA
Rfam family: Bacterial small subunit ribosomal RNA
Source: RNAcentral